Molecule: long non-coding RNA, 1296 nt
Organism: Lycium barbarum (goji berry)
Lineage: Eukaryota; Viridiplantae; Streptophyta; Magnoliopsida; Solanales; Solanaceae
Exons: 3
Source: RefSeq, a predicted model, not a curated record
UAGCUACUCUCACAAUUCUUUUGCUUUUGUACUUCCCCUUAGAGAAACCCAUCUGUUGCCUCCUUUUUUUUAUGCUCUUUCAAUUUACUUUUGUAUUUCCUGUUCUUUCCAACCAUAGACGACAUGCAAUGAAUAUUAGGACAGACAUUGAUUUAUUUGACUGCAUAUAAACAUAUUAGAGUGGGAUAAUUAGCCUUAGCGGUAGUUUUUGUCUUUGUGAUGUUAAUUAAUUGGGUGGUAUAUGCUUAAUUUAAUUCUUUAGUUGUGUGUCUUUUUCAAUUAUUUACUUCUUAUUUGCAUCUAGGAAUAUAUGUAGGUGUUAUAUAUGUUGAUUGUGGAAAACUCAUGGUUUGCUUUUUUUUUUUUUUUUUUUCCUUUUUCUAUAGGCUCCUAAUACAUAAGCUAUUUUUGAUUGAAGAUCUCAAUUUCACUGCAAGCCGAAAAUCUACUUCCGCAUACAAGAUGAAGAUAUAUAUUUAUUGAGCUACAAUCAUAAAUGGAGAAUCGUCACAAAUUAAUGAGCAAAUCUUUACACCUAGGAUCAACAUGGAAAGAGAAGAAGAAGAAGAAGCAGCAGCAGAAAGACCCAACGAAGUGAAACAAAGUGAGACACGGAAGAAAACCAAAUAAUUGAAGCAGUGGAAAAAGAAGGGUGUUAACAUCAAUGGGUAGUCCAAAAGACAUGUGCAUUAGUUAAUGAGACUAGCUGGUAUGAAUCUGCAAGUGAUUAGACACGUGUGAAAGCUUAAGGACACAGUGGGAAUUGUACAAGAGGUGAGGGUGGAUCCCCGCUAAGCAUCCAUAGUUGAAUGGUUAAAAACAAUGCGCUUCGUUUUCAAUUAGGCAAUGGAACGUAAUGGAAAAUUGGUUAGUAUUCUCAAUGUUACACAAAGUACAAUGUUUUCAGCAUGUGUUCGUAACCUUACUCCAUUUCUAUAAUAUAGAAAAAAAAUAUGUUUGUAACUUUAGGAAAUUAGAAAUUGGAACAAGCUAUUAAUUAUUUAUAGUUUAUAGUAUUUUAAUUAUAUAGAAGUAUGGGUUUAGACCCAUGCUUUGUCGUCCGUCCUCCAUUAAAAAAAAAAUGAAUCCCAUAUUAAAAAACAAACAAUGUAAAAAAAAAAGUGCAUCUCAUAUUAAAAAAUCAAAUAAUAUUCAUGUCAUUUCCAAAGUAUCUCAUUAAAUCAAUAAUGAUGGAUUCAUUGACACAUGCGUAUCAACUCAUUAGUGGGAGCAAAUGAAAUUAUUGCACAGCAAAAAACAUGAACCCCAUAUUAUUGUUUUUCUUCAAAAGGUUAA